ACUGCUGGAAUUCCCCACAGCCUGGAAAGUUCAUGCCAUGAUAUUAUUAACAAAAAGCAGUAGUCCUACAUCAAACGCCAUGAAAAUGAGCUUACAACUUCAGGAAAGAGCGAUUGGAGUAAACAAGGUAAAGUGAAGCCCAAACUUGAACUUCACGGAUUGCUAUUGAAAGUAAAUUCAUUAUGCAGCAGAGCUUAUGCGGAGGCGGUCUUCUGCUAGAAAACAACUGCAUAAACUGGGAUUGCGAUGCCAAUGCUAAGUGCUCCUAGCACGCAAAGAUACACCUUCGGUUUCUGAUGCUUUAUCCUGUGCAAGUUGUACAUGUGCUUGGCAUGGAGGUAGUAAGGCUCAUCAUGGCCAUG
RNAcentral lists this long non-coding RNA (362 nucleotides) under Oryza brachyantha (malo sina). Its description in RNAcentral is "long non-coding RNA (OBRA_LNC002220)". Lineage: Eukaryota; Viridiplantae; Streptophyta; Magnoliopsida; Poales; Poaceae. The record is from RNAcentral.